RNAcentral lists this ribosomal RNA (433 nucleotides) under uncultured bacterium. RNAcentral's name for it is "partial 16S ribosomal RNA". It matches the Rfam family "Bacterial small subunit ribosomal RNA", at positions 29 to 507 of the family's 1533-position model. The record is from RNAcentral.
AACGAACGCUGGCGGCAUGCCUAACACAUGCAAGUCGAACGAGACCUUCGGGUCUAGUGGCGCACGUGUGCGUAACGCGUGGGAACCUGCCCUUAGGUUCGGAAUAACUCCCCGAAAGGGGUGCUCAUACCGGAUAAUGUCUUCGGACCAAAGAUUUAUCGCCUUUGGAUGGGCCCGCGUUGGAUUAGCUAGUUGGUAGGGUAAAAGCCUAUCAAGGCGACGAUCCAUGGCUGGUCUGAGAGGAUGAUCAGCCACACUGGGGCUGAGACACGGACCAGACUGCGACGGAGGGCUGCAGUGGAGAAUAUUGGACGAGGAGCGAUAGCCUGAUCAAGCAAUGCCGCGUGUGAGAGGAAUGCCGUAGGGUUGUAAAGCUCUUUUACCCGGGAUGAUAAUGACAGUAACGGGAGAAGAAGCUCCGGCUAACUCCGUG